AACGAACGCUGGCGGCAGGCCUAACACAUGCAAGUCGAGCGAUACCAGCGAAUGGUGGAGCGGCAGACGGGUGAGUAACACGUGGGAACGUACCCUUCGGUUCGGAAUAACUCAGGGAAACUUGAGCUAAUACCGGAUACGUCCGAGAGGAGAAAGAUUUAUCGCCGAAGGAUCGGCCCGCGUCUGAUUAGCUAGUUGGUGAGGUAAUGGCUCACCAAGGCGACGAUUCGAGGAGCUGGUCUGAGAGGAUGAUCAGCCACAUUGGGACUGAGACACGGCCCAAACUCCUACGGGAGGCAGCAGUGGGGAAUAUUGGACAAUGGGCGCAAGCCUGAUCCAGCCAUGCCGCGUGAGUGAUGAAGGCC
RNAcentral lists this ribosomal RNA (365 nucleotides) under uncultured bacterium. RNAcentral's name for it is "bacterial SSU rRNA". It matches the Rfam family "Bacterial small subunit ribosomal RNA", at positions 29 to 416 of the family's 1533-position model. The record is from RNAcentral.